GGGGGGAAGCCCUGCCGCGCGGGGUUCCAUCAACCCCCGCAACGACUGCUCCCCGCUCGUCCCCUCCCUGGAAACAGCGUCAUUCGACCUCCUUCUUCGAGGACUCGGUUCCUGACUCACUCCACCAGAUACAGAAUACAGAGAGCAGCGUUUUGAUCCAGGAAAUGGGGAGAGGCAGUGUCUAAAAGUGGAUUAAAAAGUUCAGCCAGAGAGUUUUCAACUUCAAUCACUGUGUCUCACUCCAGGGCAUGUUGACAGCUGAGCAGAAAGACCGCCUUUGGUUUUGUUCCAAGUACUUUACGCAGAUCAGCUCUUCCAUGCCCACAACGAUCCCAUGAGUGGCUGACACUGUCUUGGGAGCCGGCCGAACUAGUACAGUGAGGAGCACUGUGCACAUCUCCUUGCUGGAGGAGGUCUGGGUGCAGACACAAGAGUCCAGGGCCUUCCGCAGCAGUUAUCAACGAGCCCUUGGCACUGCCUUACUCAGUUUUAACCUAAUCUCUAAACAUCACAAUGGCCAUGUAAACGUCACCUGCAAAGCCAUGUACCUAAUAAAAGAUUUCUCGAAUUGCUAGGGUGCCCCUUUUCAUUAAAAACAAACAAACAAAAAACAUUGUUCAGUUCUAGUGUGGAAAGGGAGAAAGGUCUGGACAGUUAUAUUUUUAAAUAACACCCCAUCACCACCGACAGCCAGAAGGACUCUGUUUCCACCACAUUACACUACCCUUUACCCCCACAGUAAAGAAUCUGGUUGGACUGCCUAAAUUACUCAGACAAUUGCCUAGAUAAUUAUACAUUUCCCAUUACUCGUUGUACAGAAAGUUUUGAUUUAUAGGAGAUCUUAGUGUUAAAAGAGGAGUCUAUUCUACCCAGACACUCUGUGUAAGACUUGUAUUUUCUUAGAGCAGCCAUACAACUUUAAAGUAUGGCAAACCAAUCUUCCCCACGCCUUUAAAAAUCUAAAUGGCUUGCUAUUGACUUUAUAAACUUAGAACUCACUGUGUCUGGAUCAUGUUAAGUAACAUUUAGUCUGAUUGUUUUAGUGUGAGUGUGUAUCAAGGCCAUUACAGUAGUUUUUGUCUCUGUUUCUAACAUGAAAUUUGACACAUCUGAAGGAAAUCCAGUGGAUAAUGCUACCAAGUGCACAGUGCACAUAUAACACUUGUGGGCUAUCGGUGUACAAAGGUCAAAUAUUUACAUGGAAUGUGGAUCCUGACUUAUAAAACUACUAUUUUAAAUUAUGACAUCUUUACAUACAAUUUAUUUUAUGAAUAGCUCCAUUUGAUAAUUAAAAAAAUAUGCCUUUCAAAGAUUUCAUAAAUAUAUAAAAUUUCACUACAUUCUAUUUUUCUUUAAA
This is a long non-coding RNA of Zalophus californianus (California sea lion), 1357 nucleotides long. RefSeq lists it as uncharacterized. The transcript has 5 exons. NCBI's taxonomy places the organism in Eukaryota, Metazoa, Chordata, Mammalia, Carnivora, Otariidae. The record is from RefSeq and is a predicted model, not a curated record.